AGUUAAGAAAAAUAAGGGCCGAUCAAGUCAAUGGCCAAGUUUUCUCCCAUCUUGCCACUGUAAAGAGCAGCAGUAGGACAGCUGUUUUCCCAGUCAGGAUACAGGAUCACUGUGGUGAUCGAGAUACUCCUGACAGUUUUGUUCCCUCAUCCUCUCCUGAGAGUGUGGUUGGGGUAGAAGUGAGCAGGUAUCCAGAUCUGUCAUUGGUCAAGGAGGAGCCUCCAGAACCGGUGCCGUCCCCCAUCAUUCCAAUUCUUCCUAGCACUGCUGGGAAAAGUUCAGAAUCAAGAAGGAAUGACAUCAAAACUGAGCCAGGCACUUUAUAUUUUGCGUCACCUUUUGGUCCUUCCCCAAAUGGUCCCAGAUCAGGUCUUAUAUCUGUAGCAAUUACUCUGCAUCCUACAGCUGCUGAGAACAUUAGCAGUGUUGUGGCUGCAUUUUCCGACCUUCUUCACGUCCGAAUCCCUAACAGCUAUGAG
This 479-nucleotide small RNA is filed under the name Pan troglodytes (chimpanzee). RNAcentral's name for it is "processed transcript". Lineage: Eukaryota; Metazoa; Chordata; Mammalia; Primates; Hominidae. The record is from RNAcentral.